UACGUAGGGUGCGAGCGUUAAUCGGAAUCACUGGGCGUAAAGCGUGCGCAGGCGGUUUGGUAAGACAGAUGUGAAAUCCCCGGGCUUAACCUGGGAAUUGCAUUUGUGACUGCCCGGCUAGAGUGUGUCAGAGGGGGGUAGAAUUCCACGUGUAGCAGUGAAAUGCGUAGAUAUGUGGAGGAAUACCGAUGGCGAAGGCAGCCCCCUGGGAUAACACUGACGCUCAUGCACGAAAGCGUGGGGAGCAAACAGG
RNAcentral lists this ribosomal RNA (253 nucleotides) under uncultured bacterium. RNAcentral's name for it is "partial 16S ribosomal RNA". It matches the Rfam family "Bacterial small subunit ribosomal RNA", at positions 524 to 776 of the family's 1533-position model. The record is from RNAcentral.